Molecule: long non-coding RNA, 269 nt
Filed under: Cyanistes caeruleus (blue tit)
Lineage: Eukaryota; Metazoa; Chordata; Aves; Passeriformes; Paridae
Description: lncRNA (ENSCCEG00000012570.1)
Source: RNAcentral
GUUGGCAAUGACAGAACUUGGGAAAACAUAAAGAAGAAGGCAAUUGUGCAUGACUCUAAAAUGACCUAUGAAAGGUAAAAGUCAUGAUCCAUCUGGGAAAGUCUAAAGAAAGGAAUUAAAAUGUCUUAACUAUGAAUGUCAAGCCACUUUGGGAAUCAGCUUCCAGAAACUGAAAGAGGCAGAACCUGCCAGUCAGGGCCUGGAGUAUGGAGAACAAACAGAAAGACAAAAACUAACUGAACUGAUCCACCUCAUCUGAACAACUGAAC